This 445-nucleotide ribosomal RNA is filed under the name uncultured bacterium. RNAcentral's name for it is "partial 16S ribosomal RNA". It matches the Rfam family "Bacterial small subunit ribosomal RNA", at positions 354 to 796 of the family's 1533-position model. The record is from RNAcentral.
GUGAGGAAUAUUGGACAAUGGGCGCAAGCCUGAUCCAGCCAUGCCGCGUGCAGGAAGACGCAUCUAUGGUGUGUAAACUGCUUUUGUACGGGAAGAAACACUCCCUCGUGAGGGAGCUUGACGGUACCGUAAGAAUAAGGAUCGGCUAACUCCGUGCCAGCAGCCGCGGUAAUACGGAGGAUCCAAGCGUUAUCCGGAAUCAUUGGGUUUAAAGGGUCCGUAGGCGGUUUAAUAAGUCAGUGGUGAAAGCCCAUCGCUCAACGAUGGAACGGCCAUUGAUAUUGUUAGACUUGAAUUACAAGGAAGUAACUAGAAUAUGUAGUGUAGCGGUGAAAUGCUUAGAUAUUACAUGGAAUACCAAUUGCGAAGGCAGGUUACUACUUGUGGAUUGACGCUGAUGGACGAAAGCGUGGGGAGCGAACAGGAUUAGAAACCCCUGUAGUCC